GGGGCGCGGUGGGCGGAGCCCGGGCUGGAGGUGGGGUGCAUGUGCAAGCCGGGUAACGGCCCUGGGUUCGCACGUGGAGGUGGAGUGUGGACUCUCCCCAAAGCUAGAGGAGGAUGAAGGAACUGGGCGAGGGGUCGGAAGGGGCGUGAGAGGAGUGAAAUAUACCUUAAGUCUAGACUUUGGCAAGUUAUGAUAUUGGUUAAAAUUCCUUAUUACAAACAACAGACUGCAAGCAAGAAUUUCUUAAAUUGAUGUUCAGCAGCUCCAGGGCCAUUGGGUAAGCUAAACAAAUAAGGCAAGAUUGGAUUAAAGUGCCAGAAAAAAAAUGCCCUAAACCGUGCAACAGAACUGACAUGAUAAAGAAACUGCUGCUAUUCCCAUCAAGCACCAAAUGCCAUGAGCUCAGCUUUCCUUUAUCUGUUCCUGCUAUCAGCCAAUUCUGUGUCAGAACUUUGAUCUUGCAACCAAUGCCACCUUUACAGUCUGGAUGCCUCUUCUAUCUUUACCUGUACCAGGAAAAUGGAAGUUCUGGCUAGAUCAUGAUUGUGUAUGUCAAAGAACAAAGAAAGGACUCAGAAACCAUAACUGGAGCACCAAUGUUUAACACAGCCCUGAAAGAACACGUUUUUACAGGAAGCAAAGAGGAACUCUCAAGGGUAUUUCACCAUAAGCUUAAAGGAUAAAAUGUUGGAAGCAGACCUAAAGUUAGAAUGGAUAUGACAAUUUGCCAAGGCAGACGAAAGACACUCUGAAGGUAAGUGCUGUUCAAACUACUCUUGAUAGAAUUCUUCAAAGAAAUAAAACAUUUAAUGUUUCUAAUGUUUUAAAUAACACUCUUUGUAAAUGUAACUUUUCCUAUUUUUAAAAUGUCCCUAUGCGUUUGUAAAUGAAAGUUUACAAUAUUUUGGAAAGAAGAUAUUAUGGAGCAGUGGUCAUUUUUCCUGGUAAUUAUCAAGAUUGCUUUGUACACUGUCAGCUUGCCUGGUCAUUUUUGUGUUCCUGCACUAGCAUGCAAAGUGAGGACGGCCUGUAUACAGGUAGAAUAAGAAGAAAUUCAAAAUGAUGGGAUUGUACUAAUGCCUUGGCAAUAAAACAUGGCAGCUGCUGUCAAACCAUCUUAACAUUUGCUUCCUUAAAGAAGAAGUCUGCAACAAUUAGAAAACCAUCAGCUGCAGGCUGGCAACAAAUGGUGACAGCUGUACCGGGCAUCACAUCCAAAUGCCACGUUGUCCAGAGGCAGAUAGGGGCUGUCUCUUCUACAGUCUACUUCUCAGGAGGAAAGAAAUGCCCUCCAUCCUGUCGGCCACAACGGACUCCACACAACCUAGUCAGGGUUCAGGAUAGAAAACUAAAGCUACUCUACGUAUUCUGGAUUGGAGGGGCUUAACAUAGAAUUUGGGGGCAUACGCAACUCCUGGGAGAGCCAGGGAAGCAGACUUCAGAAACUCUAUCCUUAAAGAUCAGAGGAGUUGACCCCGAAUAACCUUAGCCUCAAACACCUAAGUGUGUAAUUCCUCAAAUUUGUGCUAGGAAGCUGCUGGGACUCUCUCAUCUGCCCACCUAUACAGCUACAAUCAUCUCUAGAGGAAUAACAGCACCCUCUUUGCAAAUCCUGAGCUGAGUUCCUCUUGUGAGCAAUGGCCCGGAACAGGACAGAGAACAGUGAUUCUGGAUAGCAUGGGUCCUAGACUUAGAGGGGAAUAGUGGUCCAUGUUGAAAGCAGACAAUCCAGCAUACCCACCCUAAAGUAGCUCCAGCAAAGGGGAAUGGUCCACUGAGAUUGAUUGAGGACCAUUAGGCUUUCCCUUUGAUCCUGCAGGUAGGGUAAAGUCACUCUCAACAUGUUGCUUGGGGGAGGAUUGAAACCCACCCGCCUCCCUCGCAAAUCAGUGUUUGAUGAGCAAGGAAAGUAAGGAAACACUGUUGGUUAGACAACCAGUGGUGCCUGUUCCAUGCUGGGUCUCAACAUAAUCAUAAUUUUCUUUGCAAAUAAACAUAUUUGUUACCAAAGUAGCUCGCCGUAUAUAUAUAUUUUAAUGCUGUAUAACAUUCACUAUACAUACCUAUUAUUACCCACAAGGUACAAUCUCCUACGAGCAGUUCAAAUUCCAGGCUAAAUUGUAAAAUUAUAGUCAGCUAAACAUUGAUAAUGUACAGUGCUACUGCAUUCAGUAAAAAGUUGAAGUUCCUUUUAGAAAAUGCCCCCAUUAGCUCUCUCUUUCAGAUAACUGGCCAGAUUCAUUUGUCUGCUGCUUCUUUAUAUGGCUUACCAGCAAUGCCCUGAGCAUCUCCCAGAGUUAAUGAACAUUAUUUGCAUGGUUCAAAUUUAUAAGAUUACAAGCCAUCCCACCCCCCCACACACCUUCCUGCUGCCCUUCUUCCUACUUCUUCCUAAUCCCCGUUUGGCUGUUGCUUCACAUCCCAUUUAACACCAUUCCAGUUUCCUCAGAGACUGUGGGACCCAUUUUCCCCUGGGAGAAGGGAAGCUGGCGGCUGUGAAUCCAUUUGGGGGCCGAGGAAAGAAUGCAAAUGUCAAGGAUGCUAAUUUCUGAUCUUCUCGCCAGGGUUCUUUACAGUAAAUCCUUUUUAUAAGAAAGCCCUGAAGAUGAGCCUUGGUGAGGUGAGGGGGGGGGGGGGGAGGGAUGUAUCAGCAAAGUUAUGUAUGUGCAGGUUCCAGGGAGUGGCUUCUGUUCUAGAAGGGCCCCACAGCUCAGCGUUUCCUCCCACAUGCCUCCUCGAAUAUGCAAUCUGCAUAUGUAUUUAUAACUCUGCAGUAAAAAAGUGAACUUUAUUAGCAGAGAUAACUGUCAUAAUUCAAGCAACUGCACUCUGCAGAGCAACCAGAGACUAUAGGCACCAGGAUUAUAUAUGUUCAGUCAAGUCAUGUGCAAGUGCAGGGGAAUUAUGAGUCACUAAUUGGGCAUAAACCAGGAAGGAGGAAGGACUAGAAUUGAUUGUCCCUGUGAUGGACUCUGGGGGUCCAGAGAACAUGCCCAAAAGGUUUCUUCUAGAGAAUUGUUAGAUCCCAGGGAGAUACCGAGAGAGGGUAGUGACUUUACCAUGCAUUUUGGCAUCUACCCAUUCUAGUAGCAGCCCUCAAUAAACGUUUGUUGACUGAAUGAGUGAAUGCAAUGUUGUCCCUGGCAAUGAACAAUAGCUCCUGAAUUGUUCUAUGUGUGUGUACGUCUUCCCCUCCUUCCUAGUCAAACAUUUAUUCUAACCCAGUGGAGCCACAGCUGUGCCGUUGAAGAGCCGUAUCCACAAUCACUAUUAGCCAAGUGAGGCUCUCAGCCAGUGGUUCUCAGCCUUGGCUGCACGUUAGAAUCACUUGGGGGAUGUUUGAAAGCCCAAUGCUCAGGCCUAACCUCAGAUCAGUUAAAAUCAGAAUUUCUGGAGCCGAGGCAUCAGACUUCCGAGACUGAGAACCACUGCUCUAAGGUAACAUGGAUACCUAAGCCAGAGCUUAGGUAUCGAAAGACCUAGAAGCUGUCCCUCAGCAUAAAAAUGUGCCACAGCCACCCUCCCUGAGGCCCAGAGUGCAGAUAGAAGAGAAAGAAUACUCUCCUGCAACUUAGGAAUUUGAGGAGGGGAGGGUGCAUCCCGUGUCUUGGGAAUACAUAACACUUCAAACAAAAUGAUGCCACGCUGCCGAGUGUGAUGGGAAGCUAUCCGAGGGCUCCCCCCGCCCUCCUUACUGACCUUUCUCCAGCUUUCCCAGAAGCUCUGGGGCCCUCUGCGUGCUGCCCAGGGGUCCCAGCGUCCUCUCUGGCGACCUCAUCCGGAGAGGAGAGAUAGGAAGACUGGAACUGAACUAUAUCUGCAUGGAGCCUAACCAAAGAAGGAGAAUCAAAGCAAAUCCAAGAAGAGAUGGAGGUGCAGAGAUGUGAGCUAACUUACCCAAGUCACAUAACUAGUGAGUUGAAGAUACCAGCUUCAAAUUCAGGUUAAGUCUGGCUCCAAAGUUCAUGCUGUUAACCACUUUGAGAGUUUACCUCCCAGUUAUAGUAACCAUUUGUCAAGUGAC
Molecule: long non-coding RNA, 4024 nt
Organism: Lutra lutra (Eurasian river otter)
Lineage: Eukaryota; Metazoa; Chordata; Mammalia; Carnivora; Mustelidae
Exons: 8
Source: RefSeq, a predicted model, not a curated record